RNAcentral lists this ribosomal RNA (431 nucleotides) under uncultured bacterium. RNAcentral describes it as "partial 16S ribosomal RNA". It matches the Rfam family "Bacterial small subunit ribosomal RNA", at positions 29 to 505 of the family's 1533-position model. The record is from RNAcentral.
AACGAACGCUGGCGGCAUGCCUAACACAUGCAAGUCGAACGAGACCUUCGGGUCUAGUGGCGCACGGGUGCGUAACGCGUGGGAACCUGCCCUUAGGUUCGGAAUAACUCCCCGAAAGGGGUGCUAAUACCGGAUAAUGUCUUCGGACCAAAGAUUUAUCGCCUUUGGAUGGGCCCGCGUUGGAUUAGCUAGUUGGUAGGGUAAAAGCCUACCAAGGCGACGAUCCAUAGCUGGUCUGAGAGGAUGAUCAGCCACACUGGGACUGAGACACGGCCCAGACUCCUACGGGAGGCAGCAGUGGGGAAUAUUGGACAAGGGGCGAAAGCCUGAUCCAGCAAUGCCGCGUGAGCGAUGAAGGCCUUAGGGUUGUAAAGCUCUUUUACCCGGGAUGAUAAUGACAGUACCGGGAGAAUAAGCUCCGGCUAACUCCG